RNAcentral lists this ribosomal RNA (617 nucleotides) under Listeria monocytogenes. RNAcentral describes it as "partial 23S ribosomal RNA". It matches the Rfam family "Bacterial large subunit ribosomal RNA", at positions 578 to 1195 of the family's 2925-position model. Lineage: Bacteria; Bacillati; Bacillota; Bacilli; Caryophanales; Listeriaceae. The record is from RNAcentral.
AGCCCGUUAAUGGGUGAUAGCGUGCCUUUUGUAGAAUGAACCGGCGAGUUACGAUUUGUUGCAAGGUUAAGCGGAAAAAGCGGAGCCGUAGCGAAAGCGAGUCUGAAUAGGGCGCAUAAGUAACAGGUCGUAGACCCGAAACCAGGUGAUCUACCCAUGUCCAGGAUGAAGGUAAGGUAAUACUUACUGGAGGUCCGAACCCACGCACGUUGAAAAGUGCGGGGAUGAGGUGUGGGUAGCGGAGAAAUUCCAAUCGAACUUGGAGAUAGCUGGUUCUCUCCGAAAUAGCUUUAGGGCUAGCCUCGAGGUAAAGAGUCAUGGAGGUAGAGCACUGUUUGGACUAGGGGCCCUUCUCGGGUUACCGAAUUCAGAUAAACUCCGAAUGCCAUGUACUUAUACUCGGGAGUCAGACUGCGAGUGAUAAGAUCCGUAGUCGAAAGGGAAACAGCCCAGACCACCAGUUAAGGUCCCCAAAUAUAUGUUAAGUGGAAAAGGAUGUGGGGUUGCUUAGACAACCAGGAUGUUGGCUUAGAAGCAGCCACCAUUGAAAGAGUGCGUAAUAGCUCACUGGUCGAGUGACCCCGCGCCGAAAAUGUACCGGGGCUAAACAUAUUACC